RNAcentral lists this ribosomal RNA (400 nucleotides) under uncultured archaeon. RNAcentral's name for it is "bacterial SSU rRNA". It matches the Rfam family "Archaeal small subunit ribosomal RNA", at positions 19 to 427 of the family's 1478-position model. The record is from RNAcentral.
AGAGGCCACUGCUAUCGGGGUUCGAUUAAGCCAUGCGAGUCGAGAGGUGCAAGACCUCGGCGUACUGCUCAGUAACACGUGGACAACCUACCCUGCGGAAGGGGAUAACCCCGGGAAACUGGGGAUAAUACCCUAUAGGAUAUUGAUGCUGGAAUGCGCGAUAUCUGAAAGUUGAGGCGCCGCAGGAUGGGUCUGCGGCCGAUUAGGUAGUUGUUGGGGUAACGGCCCAACAAGCCUGUAAUCGGUACGGGUUGUGGGAGCAAGAGCCCGGAGAUGGAUUCUGAGACAUGAAUCCAGGCCCUACGGGGCGCAGCAGGCGCGAAAACUUUACAAUGCGGGAAACCGUGAUAAGGGAACCCCGAGUGCCCGUAGAAUCGGGCUGUUGAUCUGUGUAAAAAGC